Molecule: long non-coding RNA, 569 nt
Filed under: Panax ginseng (ginseng)
Lineage: Eukaryota; Viridiplantae; Streptophyta; Magnoliopsida; Apiales; Araliaceae
Description: long non-coding RNA (PGIN_LNC000945)
Source: RNAcentral
CAGUAGAAUUUUCAAUAAUACGACGCAUCAUAGAAGUACCUGGAUGACCAAGUCUUUCAUGUUAAGCAUAAAGGAUUUGGGAUCUAUGAUUUUUGGAAUCAUAACAUUAUGAGACUCAAUUGCUCUAAUUUUCAUAGUAUAUAAUCCAGAAGAAAUUGAAUGAAGUUUUUCUAAGAUAUUCUUUUUUUCAGAAAUAGUAGAAGUAAUGAGAAGAUAUUCAUUAUCAUUCUCAUUGGUUGUUUCAAUGUGAAAACCAUUUAGUCGAAUAUCUUUAAAACUAAGCAAAUUUCUUCUUGAUUUACUAGAAUAUAGAGCAUUUUUGAUAAAAACUUGUGUCUCAUUUGGUAGCAUAAAACUAGAUUUUCUAAAUCCCUCGAUUAAUUUGAUGUGCCAGAGAUAGUUCCUACAUUUCCCUUAGCUUUGAUUAGUUGUGAAAAAUAUUUCUCACUUUGAAGGAUUGUAUGAGUUGUUGCACUGUCUGCUAAACAUAUAUCCUCCAUAUCCAUUAAAGAUGGUCUGACACAUAUAAAAACAUAAAUAAGAAAAGUUACACUUCAAAUAUAAUUUUA